Molecule: ribosomal RNA, 492 nt
Filed under: uncultured bacterium
Lineage: Bacteria
Description: partial 16S ribosomal RNA
Rfam family: Bacterial small subunit ribosomal RNA
Source: RNAcentral
AGUGAACGCUGGCGGUAGGCCUAACACAUGCAAGUCGAACGGCAGCACAGUAAUAGCUUGCUCUUACGGGUGGCGAGUGGCGGACGGGUGAGGAAUACAUCUGAAUCUACUUUUUCGUGGGGGAUAACGUAGGGAAACUUACGCUAAUACCGCAUACGACCUACGGGUGAAAGCAGGGGAUCUUCGGACCUUGCGCGAUUGAAUGAGCCGAUGUCGGAUUAGCUAGUUGGCGGGGUAAAGGCCCACCAAGGCGACGAUCCGUAGCUGGUCUGAGAGGAUGAUCAGCCACACUGGAACUGAGACACGGUCCAGACUCCUACGGGAGGCAGCAGUGGGGAAUAUUGGACAAUGGGCGCAAGCCUGAUCCAGCCAUACCGCGUGGGUGAAGAAGGACUUCGGGUUGUAAAGCCCUUUUGUUGGGAAAGAAAAGCAGCAGGUUAAUAACCCGAUGUUCUGACGGUACCCAAAGAAUAAGCACCGGCUAACUUCGUG